GAAUCAGCCGCCCCUCACAUCACCGGAUGGAUCCAGUAAUGGGAACCCACCAGAGAGAUGUCCCCGUCCUCUGUAUUCCCGGAAUUCCACACAGAAAGGUCUUACCAUCCCUCACCAUCAGAGUGGAAACCUGAGUGAUUCUAACGUUGAUGUUAAAGAAG
Long non-coding RNA from Rana temporaria (common frog), 161 nucleotides. RefSeq lists it as uncharacterized. Lineage: Eukaryota; Metazoa; Chordata; Amphibia; Anura; Ranidae. The transcript has 3 exons. The record is from RefSeq and is a predicted model, not a curated record.